CCUGGGUGCGGCUAGAGCAAUUUGUCAUAGAAUCUGGGGGGCUCAUUUUUCCGGCCAAUCACUUUUGGAGAAAUGAGCGCAUUGCAGCAGAAUGCGCUGACGUCAGAGACCACCCCUUCUGCGCCUCCAUAUAAACCCCACCCAGCCAGCCCCUAGCGCAGACGGCGGAGAACUGGGAUGGAGCGCGCCUUGGCCCGCUGGCCGUGGCUGCAGCUCCUCGGGAGAACCGGGGCGCCCACGCGAGAAUCUCCCCACCUGAGGACACUAGGAGCACCGAUUCCUGGAUCCCCCCAGCAUACAAAGCAGCCGCUGGCAGAGACCCCCAGGACCAGGACGACGAGGGAUGAAGAGGACCAGGACUGACAAGCCAGCUGUCCCUCUUGGCUAAAGGCUUGAACCAGUGCCCUAGUGAGGGGGCACUGGCUGCUAACCCCUGAUCUUUGCUACGCUUGUGCUUGGUCUCUGUGAAUACUUUCCCAUAAGUCUCUGCUGUGUUAAUGUGCCGGCGACCUGGAGCGCUUCCCUCAGGGUGGCGUCAGUCUUUCUCCACUGACCCUGCUGUUGCCCUUAUGAUGUCCUGAACGGAAAGAUCCCUUUGGGAACUCCUCAGGAGGGGGACCUAGGCCAGAGGCUCCUCUAGCAUCUCACUGGCGAUUCCAAGGCCCAGGGUGGGCUUGUGGAAUGAGCAUGAGCCCUCAUGUCAUGCUACUGAACUGCCAAAGGCAUGCUCCCCUCUUUCGAGAUCCCCCGUCCUUUCUGGGCAAUGGGGAUGAGAAGUGCAACCUCCUAGGGUUGUUGUGAGUAUUAAAUGAGAGAAGGCAGCCUUGGGCAGGGCUGGGCAUAGAGGAUGCGGUCAGCAAAUGUUUGUUGAAAAAAUUUGGCAGGUCAAUCCAUUCCUACCUCUCUCACUUGUCGUACUUGUUCUCCCACAGCACUCCGGACAGCCCCUGUCCCCCAGGCUCUCCUUGCAUCAGGUAGGGGCUCCACCAGAGGGUCCUGGGCUGACCUGAAGGAAUACGAAUUAUGCAUGCGGUCAUUUCCAGAGCACUUUCUAUGUAGAUGAAUGUUCUUUCUAUGUCAUAGGAGUAUGUGUAUGAGGCGGCCUCAUUUACAGAUGAGAAUGAAUUUGUCAUUGAUUUGAGUAAUUUUCAAAAGGUGGGUGGGGAAGAGGACUCAUGAAAGCUGAGUGCCCCUCCCACGGGAUAGGGGUCACCCACGUUGGCAGUGAGGAUGGACGCCGAGGCUGGAGGGAUGUAAGUAUUUUGUCACACUGCUGGCAAGAGAAGAGGUCAUAGUUGGAUCCUGGGUGCCAUUGUAGCCGCCCUGUACCCCCUAGCCCAGAGUUAUAUUAAAAGCCCUUUGACGUCCAGUCAGACAUUUGACAAAGGGACAGUCUCUUUGAAAUCCCAGCUGCCCAGGGUGGUCUUGGGGUCUGGGUGGCCCCAGAGCUGGUACCCUGUGCUGGCUCCACCUCCCAGUAACAGUGUGACCUUAAACAAGUCGCUUAACUUCUCCGAGUCUCAGUUCCUUUCAUGGUCUAAAUGGGGAUUAAAAAAAAAAAAAAAAAAAAACCUCCGCGUUUAUCUACCCCACAGGGCGCUUUUGAAGACCAAAUGAUGUAACUGCUAUGAAAGUGCUUUGUAAAUUGCUGUGGAAAUUGCGAGAUACUUAUCCCCCGGAGGCUGUCCUCCGUCCUUCACAUGCCCAGCCCUCUUCUCCCGCAGUAGUAACAGCCAGCACCCAGUAGGUGCUGUGUGUGUUUGCACUCCAUAAGUAAAUUCCAGAAGAAAUAAAAACGGAAUUAAUUCAACAAACAUUUUCUGGAACCCUGACAAUAUGCCCAGCACACCAGGCCUGGGAUGUGAUACAAAGAUGAUGAAAACAGUCUCUUGGAAGCUAAUUGGGGUCCUCAUUUGACCAGCACUUUCUUUCGUCCCCUUUUAAGCCAACCAGUUUUGUCCGGACAAGACAAAAACAACUCAGGCCGCCUUGCAGAAGCCCAGCUUGGUGUGGACAAUAGCUCCCAGGCAUCUGAAAGGGCCUGAUUGGAUUAUGUGGCAAAUGAAGGUGGAAGGAUGACUUGGAAGGUGACAAAUGAAGUGGGCGGAGAUCUGCUUUGAGUUAAUCCAGGCUAUUAGGAGGCCACCUUUUGUCUUCCAGAGGCUGGCAGGAGCUUUUACCACUGGUUUUUACAUCCUUAAUGUAAGGACGCAUAAUUUAUGGUCAGUGAAAGUCCAGGCCCCGGUGAGAUUGGAGUGGGCUGUAAAAUUGAGCGUCCCGCUACCAGUGAGUAAUUACGGUGCCCGUUUCUGUCUCCUGUGUAGUAUGCAGAGCCCUUUCUGGCAACCGACAAUUCAUUUGAACCUCACAACUCCCUGUCCCGGCCCGGGGCUGGCCUGCACCUUCUAGGGGAACAGAGCCAUCAAGCGGCCUUUCAGAUUGGGGUCCCACCGUACAUGUGUACCCCCAUCGCCUCUCACCUUGUAAAGGAAGGGGUGCCCUCUGCUCUGGUCCCUCCUAUCUCAGCCCUGGACCUCCCACCAUCGGUUAUCCUCUGAAUUCCUAACUUUGCUCUCUCCACAGCCUCCCAGGUCCCUUCUGUCCUCCUUUCUAGCCACUACCGUUUCUCUCUUUCCUUUCGCAGCCAAGCUUCUCGAAAGGCCUGUCUUCACUUGCUGUCUUCCUUCCUCACCUCCAAUUUCCUCUUCAACCCACUGCCUCCUGACUUGCUCUACUCCAUCGAGCGGCUCUCACUAAGGUAAUAACUUUUCUGGAGCUUCACCUUGGCCACGUGUCUGGCUCUUGGACACAGGGACUCAUUCUUUCUCUUACAUAGCUUUUCGGCUCCGGUUCACUUCUGUUGACACACUCCCUGUAGACCUCACGGGGACACCUGCUCCUGGCUUCCCUCAUUUCUUAGUUUUCCCAGAAACUUGCAUAUCCGGAUCUCCUAAUGUCUGGAAGCUGCCUCUUGCCAUCUCGCCCUGGGUUCGAGCCUUGGCUAGCCCACUUAGUGCUGGGGCCUUGAGGUAGGUCAGUUUUCCCAAGCCACCUUUUUCUCAGUUGUAAAAUAGGGUUAAUCGUCUUUACCUGGCAGGUGAGGUGGGCUAUCUUGCAGGUAAGAACCAGAGACGAUUUGAAAGACUUAAAAUAAAGUCAAUCAGGUAUUCAGGAGAAAAUAUAAUUGGAGUCCCCAUUAGAUUUCCUUACAGGUUGAAACCGUUCCCAUGGGGAGGACCAAAGCGAGAAGAAAGAGGUGGAGAGGGGCGGGGGGGGGGGGGGGGAGUGGGAGAGAAAGAAGAAAAGAAUUUACAGAAAAACCCACUAAAGACAAAAAAGUAGGGGGGAGAGGUUUAGAGAAUAUUAAAAUCUACCAAAAAAGACAUCCAGAGAAAGGUUUUCAGUUUCGGCUGAAAGAAAGUAAACAGGAAAAAGGUUUUAAAUUGAUUAUCCCAGUGACAAAUCCCAGGAAGCUUUCAAAUCAAAUUGCCCCAUUUUGGGUUUUUAACUCCUUCUAUCAAGUUUAACCUCUUUACCUCCUGCAUCCUGGUUAGACCCCCCUGCCCCCCCUUUGCUGGUGAUUAAAUCCCCAAGGUGCACAGGAGUCUUUCAAUGAAUGAAUGGCUGACAGAAAGAGCCCACCCCUCCCCCCAGCUGUGUUUUUCAGUUUUAUUCCACUUUCCGCCCUUUUCCCUUAAUGAACACAGGGCUAAUCUUAGGCCCUGUCAAGGAGGAGGCUGCAGACGUUAAUGAGGUAGCCGCUGGAUUCCAAUAUUCGUCUCAUAAGGAGCCUUCUUUGUCUGCAAAGGAAAAACACACUGAUUAUCAUAAUGAGGUGAACUGGCGUCCACAGGGCAGGGCCACUCGCUUCUUCGCCCACACUUCUAAUUUUGGGGCUGGAGCUGAGGUUUCAUUUGCUCCCCCUUUAAGUCUUUGCCUCCAUCCCUGCGAGCAGUCCAUUGAGCGGGGUUGAAAGUUGAAGGCAGCUUUGGGAAGCGGGCUGCAGAUAGGGCUGCUUUGUGGAAAGUUUCUUUGUUCGACCCUAUACCCAGGGCAAGGGCGAGUCACACCUCUUGGGUUCCUUCUCCGAGGGCUGAGGACUGAGAGCACACAUUUCCCCGUCCGGCACGCACCUGACUUGUUCCAGGACCACUGAACAUUCACACUUACUCAAGAUUACCAAAGGUAGAAUGGUGCCAUGUCAUAGGGGUAGAACCGGUGGAAUUAUCACAAAGUCAACACCCAUGGGAUGCUCCACUUAGGUCAAGAAAUGGAUGGAUGUUGGUGCCCCAGAGGGCCACCCCCUGGAAGGGUGUGCUUUAGGGUCCAUGUUUGGCUCCCGAAUGCUGUUAGAGAGGUUCAGAGUCCAGCAGUGUGUUAGGAUCACUCAGCGAACCAAGUGCCAGAGGGAACAUUACAGCUCAGAUCGGGCAUCAGAACCUGUAGACGCUCCUUUCACGCCCCAACGUCGCCCUCUCCCAUGUGUCCUGCAGCCCGCCUGAAUCCCCCUUCUGUCCUGACCCUUGAGCUCCCCAGAGCCCAUUCUUGUCUCUAGAGCAGGUGUGCCUCAAGUCUGCCCUUAUGUGUCCCGAAUUGUGGACAUUUCUCACCCCAAGGCAGAUCAAUCAAGAUCAGAUCACUCCAAUUAAACUUUAAUUCCAGCUUUAGCCAGACUUUCAGCCAAGUGGAAGAAAACUAAGGGAGAAGCGAGGUGGUUGGAGCCAGAAAAUUUUAUUAGUAGAAAACUUCCUCCCUUAACUUAUCUCUUGGCUAAAGGUUCCCUGGCAUCAUGGGUCAGAAUUAGACAUGUUUUCCAAGUUAGCAAAACCAACUCUUGUCCAACAUCCCCAAAAAAUCUCGAAGGAUGUCUAGGUGGCUGGGUGGGGUGAUUCCACCCCUUUGGGUGGAGGUGACCCAGAGGUCGCCCGGAUUAGGAACCAGGAUGAGGUUGAGCACCUCUGAAAAUGGUGAUCCCACAGAAACCUACCCCACUACCCCACGCAGUCAUUGAAGAGUGAAAGAAGAGCAGUUCUGGGGGUUGCUAAGUGAGGACUUUUAAAUAGGAACAAAAUCACAGGACCCUUCCCACCCUCAAACACCACUGAUAAUUAAAAGAUGAGCCCCAAAGCCAUUAAUAUGCCAGCAUUUGAGAACCUGGGGAGGGGGUGGAAGGCAUGAGUCGGCCAGGAUCUUCAGGGUGUGCUUACUCCCAGGACCCUAACAGCGCCUGCCACAUGGUGAAACUCCCAGCCGGACUCCUGCUUGGGUUUCUGGAAAGCAGGCAGUCGUCUUAAACUUUCCUGAGGCCACCAGCAGAGAAUCUGAGCUGAUUGCCUCCUUGAGUGGGGGGGUUGCCCCUUUUAACUUGCCUUCUUGGUUCUGUGGCACCCCUUUCAUGCCUGGGAUGGACGCGGCUCUCAGCUGCCUGUGGACUCAGGACCCCUGCACCACAUCUCCAGCCCACUGUAGGCUUCCCGUGUUGGUCACCUGACCCCUGGAGCCCACUGGUCUCAAGAUCCGUCAUUAAGUCAGUCCUGGAGGCUCAGGAGAUGUGGGAGGAGGCAGCUUAAGCAGAUGGGAAACCAGAGGAGUGAGGCCAGGAGAUGCCCCCAAUUCUGAGUUUCUGUUUUUCUGCUUUUCCUGCCUCCGUUUCUGUUCUCCAUCUCCCCUUCGUCUCCCCUGCUUCUCCAUCAUGUCCUAACCCCAUCCUCUGGGGGUACCCUAGGCCAGCCCACACCUCCUUGGGGUGUCCCAGUACCAGCUUGGCAAAAAAGUGGGGCUCAGUAAGAGUAUGUGGGAUGUCUGUUUGGACAGGUGAGUCAAUGAAGGAACUCGGCCACCACACCUGAGCUGCUAGACGGGAGGCAUCGGGGUGCAAGGAGUUUGAGGUCAAAAGGGUGGAGGGGCCGUUUGCUUUGACUGCGGAAUGGGUGUCGCCCCAUCCUCAGCCCCGUUUGAGUGGGGUCUUGCUGGUCUCACGCCUUCAUUCACUCAUGCGUUCAUCCCGUCAUUCAACAGUUGAUCCUUACUCAGCAAGCCCACAGCCCGGCACGGGCUGGGCACCCGCCACGCUAGCGCGUCCCUUGAUGGCCUCUGCCACCCCUGGGAGGGCAGGCCGGGGGGUUGCUUCUGCCACAGGCGGCCUCACGGCUGUCCCAGGCGCUGGAGCGGUGGAUUCCCCGCUCUGUAGUAGGCAUGCAGGACGGUGCGAGGGGCGGGCCUGGCUGGACUUCCUUUGGAACCUUUAAUUCAAACCCCAGAGGAACCUCAGACUGCCUGUGCUUGCCGCUGGUCCGAGCCAGCCCCGCCUGCUCUCUCUGCCUCCCGCACUCCAUCCUGUCGCUGAGUGCUGAUGACUGUCCUGGACCCCUGGCCCUGAACUCAGGACCAAGGUGGGAAUAUAGGACAGUGUGGUGUGUGUCCUUUCGGGCUCUGGCCACAAAGGUCUCCCUCUUGAGUUGAGGUGUGUGAUUUGGACCCCUCCCUCCAAGAUGCCUUCCUUCACUGGGGCUAAAACCAGCUCCUUUGCCCCCCAGGCAUUGGCUGGGGCCUGUCUCAUGCAAAGGACAGAUGGCUAGGACCCUCGGGGGAGCUCUGCAGGCUCCGCUUCUGCCGGCUGCCCACCUGCUCUGUUCUGCUCUGCCUGGCGGCCCCUCCCCUGGCUCUCCACCGGUCAGGUGGACUGCCCACCUGAGGCUGCUUGCCAUAGUCUGUUGCUCAGCCUGGCCCACUUCCCCCUCCUCUGUGCCGAGUCACCUGGCUCAUGCCCUGGGCUCCGCUGUCUCGCCCUCUGCCUAACGGGUUGCUUUUCCUUGCUGAGCCCACGUCUGUGGUUACCUGGCCUGCCUGCUGCCUUGCCACCUCCCGCCUGCUGGCCUUUUGCCCUGCUAUGGGUCCAAAUGCCCCUCCCCUUCAGUGCUGCCCGGGGUUCCAGUGGGUCCCCAGUGUCCAUGGGACAAGCUCUUGCUGUCAGGCCACCUCCCCCAGCCAUCCUCAAAUGCUUCCAGCCGUGGGACUGACUUCCUAGGGUCUAAGUGACCGUGGGAUGCAGCGAGACCUGUCCUGUCCCCUCCCUCCGUCCAGAUCCCUUGUCGUCAUGUCCUAACAGGAGUCACCCAUGGCCUGCCCGUAUUGCCGCCCUGUCCCUGUGAGUCCUGGGCUGUGCCCUGCCCCAGGGCUCAUGGGGGCUGCCACCUGGGCCUGUUGCAUCCCUUGCCCAUGGCCCGUCCCCACGAGCCACCUCCCUCCACUGACAACCACACCACAGGUCGGCCCCGUCCUUGGGACAUGGGCUGCAACUUGGUCGGGUUGGCUGAAGAACUGGACGGAAGGGAUGGAAGAACCCCCGGAGGACCCCCACCCUGGACCACGUCCUUCCUGAUGGCCGCCUGGCGCCUCACGCCCACCCUGUGCCCGUCGCCACCUCCUGGUUUGGGCCGAAGCCGUCGUUCGGAAUCCUCCGUGGGAAGGGACCUCGGACGCGUGAUCCCAGCACUGUCCAGCUUUCCAAUCCCUCCACAGCCACGGGGACGCCCCGCACACGUUCCUGCGGGACAGGCUGGACCCAAAGACUCUGGACCCGGGCCGCCCCCUGCGAGGAGGGGCACACCCUCCCCGCCUCCCCUCCGGUAGCCACCCGUCUUCUGACUGAUGACUUCACUGAUCUGAGGGUCAGACACACGAGUUUGACCCCUGCCUGCCCCUCACGAGCCCUGAGACUUGGGGGAGCCACCGAGCCUUCGUUGUCCGCAUCUGUGAAGUCUCCUCGGACACCUACCUCACAGGGUUGUUGUGAGGAGCAUGUGAUGUGGUUCAGAAGGGCCCAACCUGGGGCCUGGCACACCCGAUUGUGCUCUCAAUAAAUGUGUUUCUUGCCUUAACCAACACAGUGAUGGAUGUGCUACUAAUAUGAGCAGGGUGAAUGUCGGGUGUCCUGUCUUGCUGGGGCUUCCCCUCACCUCAGGCAGUGUGAGGGCUGGGGGUGGGGCCGGGGGAGCCAGCUCCUGUCCCAGGAAGCCGCCUGUCCCCUAUGCAAUGGGCAGGCUGGUGGGAUGGAUGGUUGCCCGAAGCAAAGCUGGCCCUGGAGGUUGAUGCAUCCGGUGAACCACCUCGGGCUGGUCCCCCUCCUACUCCUAUGACCGGUCGUGGGAUGCCAGGGUUCUUUCCAGAAAGGAGUGCAGUGGGAAGGUAGAGGAAGUCUGAGCUGAGCUCACCGCCCCCAGGGCGGCAACUCUUCCUCUCCCUCCUCACACGCUCCCUGACCCUGGCCUGGGCCUGGCCCAGCACUCGCCAUGCUUGAACGGAUAGUGAGGGCAUGGUGGAGAGGGUCCAGCCUGGCUGCGACAGGGCCGACACUCAUCCCACAAGAUGGUUACUGAGCGGGCCCUGAGGGGGCUGCCAAGGUAGAGCCUCUGACCCAGCCCCCGCCUCGUGGGAGGGGGCACCGGGCCUUGCACCCCCACCCCCCAGCUCAGGAAGGUCAGGCUGUGGCCAGCUGCAUGUGGCUGGGGCUGAAUGGGCCAGAGGGAAGGACAAAGGAACUUCGGACCUCCGUCCACCUGGAGUCCUGGGGUCGGCACUCCUGGCUUUGCUGGAGCAGAUGAGCUGGACAUGCAACCAGUGGGAAGGGAAAGCUGCUGUCACCACCACCGUCACCGUCAACGUCAACGCCAAAGCCACCACCAUCACUACCGCCAUCUCCUCCUCCUCUUCCCUGUCCUUCCCCCUUUCUCCUUCCUUUCUCCUUCCUUUGCCUCCUCCUUUCUCCUUCCUCUUCCUCCUCUCUCCUUCCUUUUCCCCCUCCUCCCCUCCACACCCUCGGGGGAAUGCCUCAAGAGAACUACAGGUGAGUCCACUCAUGAAUGUAUGGGGCUGAGCAUGGCCACUUUGUGAACAGAAAGAACCACCUUGAGGACCAUGGCCAUGUCCAGCCAAGGAGGCCUGACCUCAGCCCUGAUGGAGUUGGAGAUGUUAUGGUGCUGAGUGAUGGUCCAGGAGGCAGUGAGAUGAGGAGAGGGCCUCCAGAGUGUGCCCCACCCAGAUAAGUCCAUGCUCAGCCAAGAUGGUGCUGAGGGUCCAGGAAAGUCCUGACUCUGGUGGGCAGACCCCGGGCCUCUCAUGAAGCUCAGGCAUCCAGAAUGAGGGCCCCCUUGAAGUUCCAGAGCUGAGGUCCCAGCUCCAGCCCUUGAUGAAACUUGGACAUCCAGAAUGAGGGUUCUCUCAAAGUCCCAGAGCCAAGACCACAGCUCCGGCCUCCGGUGAAGCUCAGAUGUCCAUGAUGAGAGCCCUCCUUGAUGUUCCAGAGCCGAGACCCCAGCUCCAGCCUCCAGUGAAGCACACAUGGCCAUGAUGAGAGGCCUCCUUGAUGUUCUAGAGCCAAGACCCCAGCUCCAGCCUCCAGUGAAGCCCAGCUGUCCAUCGUAAGAGGCCUGCUUGAUGUUCUAGAGCCGAGACCCCAGCUCCAGCCUCCGGUGAAGCUCUGAUGUCCAUGGUGGGAGGCCUCCUUGAUGUUCCAGAGCUGAGACUCCAGCUCCGGCCUCUGGUGAAGCUCAGAUGUCUAUGAUGAGAGGCCUCCUUGAUUUCCCAGAGCCGAGACUCCAGCUCCAGCCUCCGGUGAAGCUCAGAUGUCCAUGAUGAGAGGCCUCCUUGAUGUUCCAGAGCCGAGACUCCAGCUCCAGCCUCCGGUGAAGCUCUGAUGUCCAUGAUGAGAGGCCUCCUUGAUGUUCCAGAGCCAAGACUCCACCUGCAGUCUCCGGUGAAGCUCUGAUGUCCAUGAUGAGAGGCCUCCUUGAUGUUCCAGAGCCGAGACUGCAGCUCCAGCCUCCGGUGAAGCUCUGAUGUCCAUGAUGAGAGGCCUCCUUGAUGUUCCAGAGCCGAGACUCCAGCUGCAGCCUCCGGUGAAGCUCUGAUGUCCAUGAUGAGAGGCUUCCUUGAUGUUCCAUAGCUGAGAUCCCAGCUCCAGCCUCCAAUGAAACUCAGAUGUCCAUGAUGAGAGGCCUCCUUGAUUUUCCAGAGCCAAGAUCCCAGCUCCAGCCACUGGUGAAGCUCAGAUGUCCAUGAUGAGAGGCCUCCUUGAUGUUCCAGAGCUGAGACUCCAGCUCCAGCCUCCGGUGAAGCUCUGAUGUCCGUGAUGAGAGGCCUCCUUGAUGGUCUAGAGCCAAGACCCCAGCUCCAGCCUCUGGUGAAGCUCCAAUGUCCACGAUGAGAGACUUCCUUGAUGUUCCAGAGCCGAGACGCCAGCUGCGGCCUCCGGUGAAGCUCAGAUGUCCAUGAUGAGAGCCUCCGUGAUGUUCCAGAGCCGAGACUCCAGCUCCAGCCUCUGGUGAAGCUCAGAUGGCCAUGAUGAGAGGUCUCCUUGAUGUUCUAGAGCCAAGACUCCAGCUCCGGCCUCCGGUGAAGCUCAGAUGUCCAUGAUGAGAGGCCUCCUUGAUGUUCCAGAGCCGAGAUCCCAGCUCCAGCCUCUAGUGAAGCUCAGAUGUUCAUGAUGAGAGACCUCCUUGAAGUUCCAGAGCCGAGACCCCAGCUCCAGCCUCUGGUAAAGCUCAGAUGUCCAUGAUGAGAGGCCUCCUUGAUGUUCUGGAGCCAAGACCCCAGCUCUGGCCUCUGGUGAAGCUCAGAUGUCCAUGGUGAGAGGCCUUCUUGAUGUUCCAAAGCCGAGACCCCAGCUCUGACCUCCAGUGAAGCUCCGAUGUCCAUGAUGAGAGGCCUCCUUGAUGUUCCAGAGCUGAGACCCCAGCUCCAGCCUCUGGUGAAGCUCUGAUGUCCGUGAUGAGAGGCCUCCUUGAUGUUCCAGAGCUGAGACCCAACUCCAGUCUCCAAUGAAGUUCAGAUGUCCAUGAUGAGAGGCCUCCUUGAUGUUCCAGAGCCGAGACCCAAGCUCCAGCCUCCAGUGAAGCUCCAAUGUCCGUGAUGAGAGGCCUUCUUGAUGUUCCAGAGCUGAGACCCCAGCUCCAGCCUCAGAUGAAGCUCAGACAUGCAGAACUGCUGAGACAGCCUCAAGACCGUGGACUUGGCUGGACCGUACUGGGUGUGGCUGAGGUUUGACUUGAGAGUGGAGAUGGCAGAGGACACUGCUCUCCACCCAUGGCCUGCAGUGCUCCUGACUAGCAUCCCCGGAGGUAGCAUUUGACCCCUGCAUGAGGCUGGGUUCUAGAUACAUAAGGAACAAUGUGGAGUGGGGACUCUUGGCUGGAGGGAAGAGUCUUAGGGAGAGCACAGUCGUGGAUUGUGGGUGGGGCAUCGCUGAUGAAGCCUGUCCAUGAGUAUGUUUCUCUGUAGCAGAGUGCUGUUUUAUGCCUUUUAGUUGUGCUGGACUCAUGACUGGCUGCACACCAGCCUUGAUCCACGGGGCUGCCAAUUGGCUGGACCCUGGAAUGUAACCCAAGCUUGUUUCUGCGGCUUAGCUCCUCUCCCAGGGGAAGGUGCUAACCGCCCACUCGCCAGCCCGGCGUGAAGCCGCGACCUUGGGGCUGCUCAGAUCUGGUUGCCUCUUUCCAGCAACGGAAGUUCAUCGAGGUUGGGACUGGGAGAGGGCCAGGCCAUUGCGACAUGAGUGAAGAUGGUACGGACGGCAAAGGAGGCCCUCAAAUAAAUGGGGACAAAAUGGCAGCUUCCGAGAUGCAGCCGCGUCUUGGGCUGGGACCCUGCCCCAAGCACCUUGACUGUAUCUGUGGUCUUUCAGGAACUUGGUUGACACCAGACCAUCCACUAAGCCAGAUAGAGAUAACAAUUAAAGAAAUAAGGCCAAAUAUAUUGACUUGCUCGGAAACCAUAAGAAGGUCAUGGGUAGCUAGCGUCAAAGCGAUGAAAAGUAUAGACUUUGGGAGGAGAGGCUGCUGAGUAUUAUUCUGGAUGUACUGACUCUGAAAUCUCGAGACCAGGAGGUUCUGAGAAUCCGAUAUCAUCAGUUAUGCCAUUCAGGCACACAGCUACAAUAAUACAUCCCAGAAACUGACUUAGUUUAUGCAGUUGGAAUCUGCAGGAAAAGGGAGCAGCUAACGAGUUCUUGAAAAACACAUCCUAGCAAUGCCAACAUCAUUUUGGUGACAUUUCCUGGAAAUUCAUUAGAAUUUGGAACUAUGCACACAAAAACUUCUUUGAUGAGUAACUGGAACUCGAGACCUGGGGUGGGAUGGAGGAGAAAUUCAUCUUAGAGGACUGCCUGGCCUGCCUCGCCCCACCCUCAUUUGGCCAAGUUAUUUUAGGAGAUUUCCAAGAACAAGCAAUUAUUAGACUCACUCAUUGCUGAUUUCCUAGAAGCCCUCACAACAAACUCUGAGGCCAAAUGCAAAACGGGUGAGCUGGGCUUGUGAUGUGUGUGAAGAAAGUGUGAGUUCUGCUCUGUAAAGACAUCAGCCUCAGGGAGCUAGGCUCAAAGCAGAGCCACAGGAGUGGCAGGAAGGAUAGGACGGAACUUCUGGAUCGUCAGGCAGAGCCCCCUGACUUGAGUGAGAUAGGUCAGAGGUUGUUCUCCAGCCCCUUCCAGGAAGGUCGUCGAGCUCUCACAUGUUUCUGACGUGUGCUAGGCAUUGUGCUGAGACCCAGGAGGAAAAGCUGAAUUCGAUCCAGCCCCUGCCCUCCAAGUAAGAAAGACUAAGUUCCAGGUGGGGCUGCUGUGGUGGCAGCAUAGGGCCCGAAGUGGUCUCCCAGUUGGCUCUCCCAUUUUACAGAUGUGGACACUGAGGUCGAGAGAUAGGUUGGUUCCUUGAUGCCCAUUAAGACCAGACCUCUCUGGAGGCCACGGCACUAUUCCCUACUCCACGCUGCUUCCGAUUUUACCGAGAUUGAAGAAGAGCCAGGACAGCUGAGCGGAUUGCCUGCGGUCACCCGUCAAGACAGCAGAAGCGGGAAGGCUUGGCACCAGAGCUCCUGCCUCCGUGUGCAGACUGUGGUGGUACCCAUUUGCCAGGAGCCCAGUCCAGCCCCAGCGCCAUGCUAGAAGACCAGACCAGAGGGAGCAAGGAUGCUCUGGAGGGUGUGGGGGUGAGGUGGUAGGAGGGACCUUACCUGGGAGUCUGGGGAGCAAGGCCCAGCCAGUUUGUCUCUGACUCUCCCCCUCAGGGCCUCAUUUUCCCCAUCACUCACUUUGUUGUCCUCCUGUUUGUUGGAGGGACCUUUUCUGAUGGGGGCACCACUCACGCUUUGUGAGUACCUGCCACUUGGCAAAAUGGAUCAGUGGCAGGGAGGGGGCAAUCGGUGAGGGGAGGAAAAUCAUGGUCUUCUUCAUUCCCAGGAGGGGCUGAGUGGGCCCCAAAUUUCCCUGACACUCCCAGCUCAGCUCUUAGAGGAAGCUGGGAAGAGAGAUGCCUUGGGCUGCAGUUUUCUCCGGAUGACUGUUAUUUUCCCCUCUUGGCCUCACCCAUGGCCGCCAUUUGGGAGCUGGGGGCUGGAGUGAGGCCGAGGCGGGCGGGCUGUGGAAAGCUUGCUCUCCAGCUCUCCUCACCAGAGGGUUGUUCUCGUGAGCCAGCCAUGGGAGACAGUGCCUCCCUGUGCUUCUAGGGGGACACUUUGGGUUCUGCCCCCUCCCCUGAGCCAGCAAUCAUGUAGGGCCCCUGGGGAAGCCAGUCCCAAUAGCAGCAAGGCCCUCUGUGGGGGCUGAGCCCACCCGGAGGUGGGUGGGAAGAUGGAUGGGCAGGGCAGUGGGGGGCAGGACAGCAGCCAACUGGCCCAGAGAGUCAGGCCAAAUUCAAGCCAGAUGUUACUGGAAUAGUCAGCAGAGGGGGACCCCCCCAUCCCUGGGAGACAUUAGGCUGAUUUGAUAGCUGUACAUUUCCCAGACAGCCCACAGCUCCCUAGCUGCCUUCACCUGCACUGAGGGUUCUCAAAUUGUCCUGGGGUGGGCUGGGUGGGGGGCAGGGUGGGGGCUGGUAGGGUGUUGUGGAACAUUGCCUAUAUACCUGCACUUUACAAAGCACUUUAUGUUUGCUUGGUGUCGGCUGAUGGUGCAAGGAAUGGAUGAAAGUGUGCCUGUCGGUGGGUCUGGGGGCUCGUCAGUCACCCCAUGUCGGAGGAGGAGACCCUGGGCUCGGAGCGGGUCAGAGGCCAUUCUGGGGACAUUCGUAUGCCCAUGGGGUUCUGGGAUUCAGCCUCCUGGGGCCAAGAGGGGCCUUUCCUUGAUACCAUGGUCCAGGGCCUCAAUGCCCAGGAAGCAGAGGCCACACUGCUAGGAGGAAAGCCCCCUGGUGCACCCCAGACCCGGCCUCCUGGGAUUAUUACUGGGGCUGGAACUUGCCUCCCUUCACCUAGAAUUGACUGUGACUCCAAAGGGCCAGGCCUUAGCCCAACCGCCCCCCCCCCGCCCCCACCGCGACAGCUUGUACUCAUGUCGCCUGCAAGCAUAAGGCUUCCAGAGGGUUUCUGCAGCUUGGGACCCCUGGACCAGGGAUUAAUCUGCACCCCUUCACCACGGCUGCCACAUAGCCCCCAGUACCAGGUAGAUGCCUGAUGUUGGUAUUGGGUGAUUGGCCCAGGUUAGGCUCCGGUGUUGUCCUGGCCCAGGAAGGGCUCAGUGGGACGGGUGUCCCUAGCCUGGGUCAGGGGGUGGCUGUGUGCCUGUGCCUGCCUGGAUGUGCAUGGGUGUGCAUACCUGUGUGUGUGUGCAUGUGUGAGUGUGCAUGCACGUGCAGUCUGCGCCUGUGUGUGCAUGCAUGUGUGGGAGAGGCAGCUGGUGGAGAGCGACUGGAAGUGAGAGACAGAGUGGGUUUCUUUCUGACCCCAGACACCCUGAGCACGGAUUCACCUCUGCUUCUCCUGAGACCCGCUCCCCGUAGUCACCUCUGCCACAAGCCCCCCGUAGUUUGUGCUCCAGCCCAUCUUUGUGUCCAGCUCUGCCGCAUUGGGCAGAAGAGUGGCAGCCUUGGUUCCCAACCCUCUACCCUUUACUGUCCACCCCCAUCCUCAUUUCCUCUCCUUGGCAGUGCUGUCACAGGUAGGGGAUCCUGCCCCCGCGCGCUGCCGACACCCCCUCUCAGCAGCUCUGUCUGGUCUACCCCGUCCUGUGUCUGGAGUGGAGCCUUCCCCUCCCACGGCCCCCCAUCUCCUACCCUCUUCCCUGGGAUUCCGACCAGCCCUGCCCCAGCCCUUAGACCCCAGCUUCUGGGGCAGCUCACAGUAGAAGCUCAGCCACCUCAUGGAGAGGGACAAGAAUGGGUUGAGCGAGGGUCCUUGUGCCCAGCCUCCCCAGCCUCCCUUGCUGCUGCCUGGGGCAUCUCUUAGCUGGUGACGAUGGCCGGAGACCUCAGGACCACACCGACGACAGAACCUUGGACCUGGAGGAGGCCUGUGCCCCCGAUGGCGCUCGGCCCAGGUGCUGCCUGAUCCAGGUCAGUUCCCACCGUUGGUCUUUGAAAUGCAUAGGCACAGAUGGAUUGGAUUGAAAAGUGCCCCAAAUGGCGUCAGACUUUCUCUGAUGAAACUCUGUCACGUUCACUUGGUUUGCCAGCGAGGUUGAGAGUGGACAAAUCGAGUGAGCUUCAUCUGCAGCUCUGAGGUUUUGACAAAAGUAGACAGUUUUACAUGUCACAUAUGUAUUAUGAUAUGCAGGAGGCUGUAUCAUUGCAACUCUUUAAGCUUGAUAUGAGAGCUUUGUUGCCUAUUAAAAAAUGGACUGUGGGAGGGGGAGGUGGGUGGCUUUUCAGAAUUCCUGUAUGGGAUGUGCAAGCACAGAUGUUUGCUGCCCCUGUUCUGGGGCAUCCACGCUUCCUCGCUGGCAAGGUUCUUGGGCUUGGUAGUUGUUCUCUGAGCUUCGCACAUGUUAUUCUGUUAUGUUCUGGAUAUUCUGUUAAUGCAAGUGGGUGGGGUGGGGGUGUUGAGCUGGAUGCUGGGCUGGGCUGCGACUGUAAAGGCUCUUGAUUUAUGUCUCCCCUUGACCCUCAGAGGUGUCCAGGCCCAGCUCGUGGGUCCUGGGUCCCUCUUUUUCUCCCUCUAGACUUUGGGGGUCCAUCUCAUGCAUGUCUGUCACCAUGGGCUCCAUCAUCAUGGCUUCCAUCACCCAGCAUUGCUUCACCGUCACCUGCAACUACUGGGUCCCAGGACCUGGUCCAUCCUUCCCCCUGGGCUGGUCAUCUCCGGCUCCCAUCACGUCCGUCCAGUCUGUGUCAUCCUGGGCACAGCAUCUCAUCUCUAUCACGGUGGACCUGGCCAUCACCCAUCCAUCAUCUGCCUCACCUCCAUCAUCCUCGCUUCGGGGCUCCCUCUGGCCUCCAGGGCCUUGUACAUGGUAGGCUUUCAUUCAUUCGUUUGCACAUUCGGUGAAGGUCUUCCGUGUGCCAGGCUCUGUGCCAGGCAUCAAGUAAAGGGACGUUGCCCUUGGGAGCGCACGCCUCGGGGAGAAGCACAAGAGCCGGCGGAUGGCAGAGAGCCUGGCCCAGGGUGACUUGCAGACAUGGUGCAGAGAAGGGCAAAUCUGACUGCAUGGGGGCAGGGGGUGGCGGUGCUCGGUCAAGGUUCUGCUGAGUGGGGUCUGGAAGGAGAGGUCACAUGUGCCCUCUUUCUUACCUGCUGGUAGCUGACAUCUCAGAAAUGGCGCCAGGAGCCUAGGGCCUCCCAGCUUGCCCACUGGGACCUUGCCCCUGAACCCCUGACAGGUUCCUGCACCUCCAGAGCCUGGCUGCUUGCACUCUGCACCCCAUGCUCUGGGUCAGUCUUCUUGCUGUCCCCUUGUUUGAGAUCAUCCAGUCCUACCCAGAUCCUUUGAUGUCAUUCCCUUUCUAGACGAGUAAAACUGAUGCUCACACAGGGUCCCUGAGUGUCACGUGUCAGAAUGCAGAUGGAGGGUAAGGACCAAAUUUUGUGCUCUUUCCAUUAAAGUUGAAAUGAAUGAAUGAGUGACGUGACAUGAAAGAGGGCAAGUUUGGGGAGAAGAGGACCUUACUUCUCAUUGUUCAGGCCUGGAGUGGUUUCAAUGCAGAGUCAGACCACAUUGGAGGAAGAGGAGUUGCUGGGGAGGAAGGGGUGGGCCCAGUCUGUGAAGGAGUGUUCAUGCUUCUGGGGUAAAAUCAGAACAUAGCGGACAAGCCAGUGAAUUUUGUGUAAAGCAAAAUUUAUUCCAUUGUAAGAAUCUGAGCUAUGUCUUUUCUACUUUGGGGCUAUUACAGUGAACUUCUGCUCUCUAAAAUGACGGUGGUCAAGGAUGGGAAUUGCUUUGUCUAUCAGAUUUAAUGUUUUUGGUUGGCCAAGUGUUGGUUGUCAGAUAACCAUUUUGGAAAUUUCUAGGUCUUGGAGAGCCCAGAUAUGGGACCCUCUAGUGUCCAUGAAGACCCUGUGGAUGUUCGAGGGAGAGGGGGUGUGGACUUGUUGGGUUUGACGGUGCCUCAGCUGUCUUAAUGGUCCCCUUCACGGAUUGGAGUAGACUCAAUUUUAGGGGACCUUGGUGGUCUUCAGGAGAAGUUUCAGGUUAGCUAAUUGGAAUUGUACUUUUGGUGCAUGAACUUCUGUAACUUUUGGGAUUGUUUAGUUGCCUGUCUUAAUUAGAUUCUGAAUCAGAAUUAGCGUGGUGUGUGCAGACUGCCUUGGGGUCUGGUAGGAUGAGGUGGCCCCCUGGGUGUCCCACCUUCACCCCAGGAUGCCCAUCACUCUCAGUGGGAUGUUCAUGGGAUGUUCCUGAGGGUGAAAACCACUGCUAGGUUCAUGUGUCAACCAAGCCCCUCCUUGAACAUGUGUCACACUGAGCCCCUCCUCUACUUGUGUCCCAUGGAGCCCCUCCUCACUCAUGUAUUACACUGAGCUCCUCCUCCACUCAUGUGUCACACCUGUGUCCAUUCCCUACUCGUGUGUCACCCUGAGCCCUCUCCCUGAUCAUGAGUAGCACUGUCUUCCCUCACUCCUGUGUCUCAUGGUGCCCCUCUAGUGCCUCCACCGAUGUGUUAUACUGAGCCCCCUCACUCAGGUGUCACACUUGAGCCCAUCUCCCACCCGUGUGCCACACUGAGCCCUUCCCAGGUUCAUGGGUCACAUAUAGCCCCUCCAGCACCCUUAUGUCAUACUGAGCUGCUCCCUCACUCAUGGGUCACACUGAAUCCAUGUGUUAUGUGGAGCCCCUCCCCCACUUAUGUGUCACAUGAAAUCCCUCCCCCACCUAUGUGUUUUACUGAGCCCCUGUGAGACCCAUGUGUCACACUGAGCCCCUCCCCUACUCAUGCAUCAUAUGGAGUCCCUUGCCUACUCAUGUGUCGCAUAGAGUUCCUCCACCACACUUGUCUCAUACAGCACCUCCGUCACCCAUGUGUCUCACCAAGACUCUCCACUCAUAUGUCACUCUGAGCCCUUCCACUAACCUGUGUGUCACACUUAGUCCCUUCCUCACUUGUGUCCCGUGGAGACCCUUCACUUGUGUGUCCACCAAGAGCCCCACUCAUGUGUCAUGCUAAGACCCUUUCCCACCCUUGUGUCAUCUUGAGCCCCUCACUCAUGCAUCAUUAUGAAGUCCCUCCCAUUUCAUGUGUCACACUGAGCCCCUUCCUCCACCAUGUGUUACAUUGAGCCCCUCCUCCUCUCAUGUGUCACAUGGAGCCCCUCCUCUACCCAUGUGUCACACCCCCCCCAACUCAUGUGUCACCCUGUGCCCUUCCCCUCAUGCAUUAUAUGAGCCCCUCCUCCACUCAUGUCACUGAGCCCCUCCUCUACUCAUGUCACUGAGCCCCUCCUCUUCUCAUGUGUCCCAUGGGGCUCCUCCUCCACUCAUGUGUCACAUUGAACCUCUUCCACACUCAUGUGUCAUACGUAACACAGAGCCCCUCCCCCUACUCAUGAGGAGGACUGAGCCCUUCCCCACUGAUGGUGCCCCUCUUCCACCCAUAUGUUAUACCGAGCCUUUGCAUUCAAGCAUUACACUUAGUCCCUUUCCCAUCCAUAGGCCACACUGAACCCCUCCCCUACUCAUGUGUCACACAAAGCCCCUCCAGCACCCAGAUGUCAUACUGAGUCCCUCACCUCUUCAUGUGUCAACUGAGCCCAUCCUCUACUAUGUCAUAUGGAGCCCCUCCCCCACCCAUGUGUCACAUCAAGUCCCUCCCCCUGUGUGUCACACUGAGCUCCUGUGACAUCCAUGUGUCACACUGAGCACUCCUCACUCAUGUGUCGCACUGACCCCAUCCCCCACUCACGUAUCAUAUGGAGUCCCUCCCCCACUCAUGUGUCACAUUGAGCCCCUCCCCUACUCAUGUAUCCUGGAGUCCUUUUCCCAACUCAUGUCACAUAGAGCUCCUUUCAAACUCGUGUCACACUAAGCCCCUUACUGCACUUGUGUCAUACUGAUCUGCUCCUCCCUUCCAUGUGUCACAUCGAGCCCCUCCUCCACCCAUGUGUCACAUGAAGUCCCCCCACUCAUGACACCCUGAGCUCUUCCUCCCCCCAUGUGAAACACUGAGUCUGUCCCCUACUCAUGUGUCAUGGGGCCCCUACUCCACUCAUGUCACACGUAUGUUCCUCACUAUUGUGCCACAUCCAGUCUUUCUUCCACCAUGUGUAACACUGAGCCCCUCCCCCUACUUAUCUAUUAAACUAAGUCUGUCUUUCACUCGUGUUACACUGACCACCUCCCCUAUUCAUGUGUCAUACCUAGUUUCUCACUCAUUCAUGUGUCACAUGGAGCCUCUCCCCGACUCAUGUCACACAGAGCCCCCUCCCCCACCUAUGAGCCACACCUAGUCCCUGUUCCACUCAUGUGUCACACUGAAACCCCCUAACCUGUGUGUCUCACUGAGUCCCUUCCCCACUUAUGUCACAUUACAUUGAGCCUCUUCUCCACUCAUGUGUCACAUAGAGACCCUCUGUCACAUAGAGCCCCUGUUUCACUCAUGUGUCACACCAAGUACCCUCGCUCAUGUUUUAUACUAAAUCCCUUCCCUGCUGUGUAUCACACUGUGUUUCUCCCCCAUUCACGUGCAUACUGAGCCCCUCACCAACUCAUGUCUCAUAUGGAACUCCUACCCGACUCCUCUGUCACACUGAGUCCCUCUGCCACUCACUGUCACACUGAGACCUGCCAUUCAUGGGCCACACUGAGCCCCUUCUGCACCCAUGUCACACUGAAUCCUCCCUGACUCAUGUGUCAUGCUAAACCUCUGCCUCCAAUCAUACAGUCCCCCUCCUAUUCGUGUCAUACUGAGUCCCUAUCUAAUCACGUGUCACACUGAAUCCCCCCUCAGUGUCACACUGAGACCUCUGCCACUCACGUAUCAUAUGGAGUCCUUCUCCCACCCACAUGCCACCCCGACUCCCUCCCUCACUCCUGUGUCACAUUGAGCCCCUCUUCCACUCUCAUGUGUCGUACUGAGCUGCUUUCCUCACCCAUGUGUUACAGUGAGCACCUCCCUCAUUCAUGUGUUAUCCUGAGCCCCUCCUCUACUCAUGUGUCAUCUGGAGCCCUUCCCCACUCAUGUGUCACACUGAGCCCCCACUCAUAUGUCAGAUGAUCCUCUCCCCACUCAUGUAUCACACUGUGCCCACUUCGACUCGUGUGUCUCAGAGCACCUCCUUCAUGCAUGUGACACACCAAACUCCCCACUCAUGUGUCACACUGAGUCCCUUUCCUACUUACGUGUCACAUGGAGUCCUUUCUCUGCCCAUGUGUCACACAGAGCCCCUCCCCUAUUCAUAUGUCACACUGAGCCCCUUCCCUCACUCAUGUGUCACACUGGAUCACUUCUCCACUCAUGACUCACAUGGAGCCCAUCCUCCACCCAUGCGUUAGACCCUGUACUCAUGUGUCAUACUAAGUGCCUCACUCGUUCAUGUGUUAUAUGGAGCUCCUCCCCACCUGUGUUACAUUGAGCCCCUCCCCCAUUCAUGUGUCACACAGAGUCUGUCCUCCCACCUUUGUGUCACACCAAGUCCUUUCCCUAUUCGUGUCACAUAGAGCUUCUUCUCCACCCAUGUGUUCUGCAGAGUCCGUCCCCUAUUCGUGUAUCACAUGGAUCCCCUCCCUGACUCAUGUCUCAUCUAGACCCCCCAACCAAUGUGCCAUAUGAAGUCUCUCCCCCACCCAUGUGUUAUACUGAGCACCUCCCCCACUCCUGCAUCACACUGAAAAUCCCUCCCCAUUCAUGUCUCAUUUGUGUCACACACAGCCCCCCAUUCGUGUCACACACAGGCCCUCUCACCCAUGUCCUACACUGAGUCCUUGCUACACUCAUGUGUCACUCUGAGCUCCUCCCCAACCUGUGUGUGACACUGACUCCCUCCCACUCAUGUUUCUCCACACGUGUCUCUUAGAACCCCUAUUCCACCCAUGUGUCAAACUGAGCCCCGCAAUUCAUGUGUCACACUGACCCCUCCCUUCCUCCCUCCCUCCUGUGUCCCACUGAGUCCCUCCUCCUCUUAGGUAUCAUACGGAGUCCCUUUCUACUCGUGUCACAUAGAGACUUUCCCCAGUUGUGUCACACUGAAUCCCACCAUUUUUACAUCACACUGAGCCCCUUCUGCACCCACAUGUCACACUGAUCCGCCCCCCGUCUAUGUGUCACAUUCAGUGUGUCACACUGGGCUCCCUCCUCCACUCAUGCAUCACACUCAGUCCCUCCUCAGUCUUGUGUCACCUUGACCCUCACCAGCUUAGGUAUCAUGGGGUCCCUCACCCACUCAUGUGUCACACAGACUCCCUCCUGCACUCGUGUAUCACAUAGAAUACCUUUUUCACCCAUGCGUCACACUCAGCCCCUCCAACACCCCUGUGUCACACUGAGUUCCACACUCAUGUGUCACACUGAGUCCUUCCCCCACCCAUAUGUCGCGUAUAGCCCCUCUCUCACUCACAUGGCUCACCAAGUCCCACCAAGUCCCACUGCUCAUUUGUCACAUGGAACCCCUCCCUCACUCGUGUUACGUGAAGCCCCUCCCCCAACCUGUGUGCCACAAUGAGCCCCGUUCUCAUUGCAACACCUAGUACCUCCCCCAUUCAUGUCACAUAGAGACACUCCCCCAGUCAUGUGUCACUGAGCCCUUAUCCUACUCAUGUGUUACACCAAGACCCCCCCCACCUAUUUGUAACGCCAGAUCCCCCACUCAUUCACGUGUUCCCACUGUCCCCCAUCAUGUGUCUUACUGAAUCCCUCCCCCAUUCAUUUGUCACAUUAGCCCCCCUCACCAGCUAUGCAUUACACUAAGCCCCUCCCCCACGUGUGUCAUAUAGAUCCCCUCUGACGACAGUAUGUCACGCUGAGCCUCUCUCUCUCAUGUGUCACUCCCAUAUCCUUGUGUCACCACAUGCCCUCUCCUACUCAUGUGUCACAUGGAGUCCCUCUCCCACUCAUGUGGAAUAUGGAGCCUCUCCUCCACUCAUGUGUCGCACUGAGUGUGGCCCACAACCCUGUGUCACAGUAUGCCCCUCCCUUACACAUGUGUCACACUGAGCCCCUCCCCUAGUCAUGUGUCAUGUGGAUUCCCUCUCCCACUGUGUCAAAUAGAGCCCCUCCCUCACUCCUGUGUCACACUGAACCCUU
Molecule: long non-coding RNA, 22436 nt
Organism: Equus caballus (horse)
Lineage: Eukaryota; Metazoa; Chordata; Mammalia; Perissodactyla; Equidae
Source: Ensembl